RNAcentral lists this ribosomal RNA (862 nucleotides) under Cataractispora receptaculorum. RNAcentral describes it as "LSU rRNA". It matches the Rfam family "Eukaryotic large subunit ribosomal RNA", at positions 61 to 974 of the family's 3401-position model. Lineage: Eukaryota; Fungi; Ascomycota; Sordariomycetes. The record is from RNAcentral.
GAAACCAACAGGGAUUGCCCAGUAACGGCGAGUGAAGCGUCAACAGCUCAAAUUUGAAAUCUGGCUCACGGCCGAAUUGUAAUUUGCAGAGGAUGCUUUUGGCGCGGUGCCUUCUGAGUUCCCUGGAACGGGACGGCACAGAGGGUGAGAGCCCCGUAUAGUCGGACACCUAGCCUUUGUAUAGCGCCUUCGACGAGUCGAGUAGUUUGGGAAUGCGCUCAAAAUGGGAGGUAAAUUUCUUCUAAAGCUAAAUACCGGCCAGAGACCCAUAGCCAACAAGUAGAGUGUAUCGAAAGAUGAAAAGCACUUUGAAAAGAGGGUUAAAAAGUACGUGAAAUUGUUAAAGAGGAAGGGUUUAUGACCAGACUUGUGUCUUGAGAAUCAUCUGGCGUUCUCGCCAGUGCACUUCUCCUGAUUCAGGCCAGCAUCGGUCCGGCUAGAAGCAUAAAGGCUCUAGGAACGUAGCUCUUCGGAGUGUUAUAGCCUAUUGCAUAAUACUUUUAGCGGGACCGAGGUACGCGCUCUGCAAGGAUGCACCACCGACCGAUCCUGAUUGUCCUCGGAUGGAUUUGAGUAAGAGCAUAGCGUUUGGGUGCCAAACCCGCACGCGAAAUGAAAGUGAACGCUGGCGAGAGCUUCGGCGCAUCGUCGACCGAUCCUGAUGUAUUCGGAUGGAUUUGAGUAUGAGCUUUAAUGAUCGGACCCGAAAGAUGGCGAACUAUGCUUGGAUAGGGUGAAGCCAGAGGAAACUCUGGUGGAGGCUCGCAGCGGUUCUGACGUGCAAAUCGAUCGUCAAAUCUGAGCAUAGGGGCGAAAGACUAAUCGAGCCAUUUAGUAGCUGGUUACCACCGAAGUUUCCAAA